This 592-nucleotide long non-coding RNA is filed under the name Pan troglodytes (chimpanzee). Its description in RNAcentral is "lncRNA (ENSPTRG00000054428.1)". Lineage: Eukaryota; Metazoa; Chordata; Mammalia; Primates; Hominidae. The record is from RNAcentral.
AUGAGCCAGGCACUGAUCCACAGGCUUUUGUACUCAACUCUGACAACAACCCUAAGAGGUAGCUAUCAUUAUAUCCCCCAUUUUAUUAAGAAGAAAACAAUAGCACAGAGAAGGGCUCAGGAGGCGGGGCCAGGGCGGGGCGUUGACUAUGUCGUAGCACGUGACCAGGCGGUGCUCGGACUCUGGGAGGCAGAGCUUAGGGCGGGCCGAUGUGGGGAGGGGCCCAGGGUCCGGGAGGCGGGUCCGAGUCUGGGCUGCGGGCUGCGCUCAGGAGGCGGGCCCUGGGGUAUGGCCAGGCGCUGCUCGGGCCCUGGGAGGCGGAGCUUAGGGAGGCGCCAGUGUCGGGAGGAACCCAGGGACUGGGAGCUGUUGUUCCCCACCAGAACCAAAUGAGCGCAAGAUCUGACAAAGAAAAAAAAGUCCCUGUAUCCUGAGAUGGAGUCACCUGAGAAUCCACAGCAAGUCCUAACCAGGGAUGGGUCUGCGUGGUUAAGGAAGGUUGGCUUCAGAACUGGGCCAGGGGCACUGCUUUGCUUUUGCUGUUUUGAUCAGCUCUCUGCCUGCAGGAGACAAGGAAAACCAAUGGGAACAG